UACGGGGGGAGCAAGCGUUGUUCGGAUUUACUGGGCGUAAAGGGCGCGUAGGCGGCCUGUGCAAGUCAGUUGUGAAAUCUCCGGGCUUAACUCGGAACGGUCAACUGAUACUGCUCGGCUAGAGUGCGGAAGGGGCAACUGGAAUUCUUGGUGUAGCGGUGAAAUGCGUAGAUAUCAAGAGGAACACCUGCGGCGAAGGCGGGUUGCUGGGCCGACACUGACGCUGAUGCGCGAAAGCUAGGGGAGCGAACAGG
RNAcentral lists this ribosomal RNA (254 nucleotides) under uncultured bacterium. RNAcentral's name for it is "partial 16S ribosomal RNA". It matches the Rfam family "Bacterial small subunit ribosomal RNA", at positions 524 to 776 of the family's 1533-position model. The record is from RNAcentral.